ACGUAGGGUGCGAGCGUUAAUCGGAAUUACUGGGCGUAAAGCGUGCGCAGGCGGCUCUAUAAGACCGCUGUGAAAUCCCCUUUCUUCCCCUGGGACCUUCUUUUGUGACUGUAGGGCUUGAGUGCGGCAGAGGGGGGUGGAAUUCCACGUGUAGCAGUGAAAUGCGUAGAGAUGUGGAGGAACACCGAUGGCGAAGGCAGCCCCCUGGGCCGAUACUGACGCUCAUGCACGAAAGCGUGGGGAGCAAACAG
Molecule: ribosomal RNA, 251 nt
Filed under: uncultured prokaryote
Description: partial 16S ribosomal RNA
Rfam family: Bacterial small subunit ribosomal RNA
Source: RNAcentral